AGCAAACAAUUUCGCGCGUAGGGUUGCGUUCAAUGCCAUAAAUUAAGAUUUUAACACUAAACGUGCAUCAGCCCAGUCAGCUGAUUGCACAGAAUGCACAUACACAAAUUCAAUUAUGAGCAUACCAGAUAAUCCUACGCCUGUAUAACACUGAUUGGUCAUUUUAACGACUUUCGGUUGUUAGUGUUGGUGACCAAAGUAGGCCUGGUUUUCUCAACGGUCAUUUUGCCUCCAUAACGAAGGUGCCGGAGCUGGACUGAAAAUGCUCAACGCAGAUUUGAAGGUGCUGGCGGUCUUUUUCAGAAAUCAGGAACGGCAAAAAUGCCUUUAUCUUGGAAUGAUUUUCCGGAGGAGCAUUAUCUCUGAAAGAUGUCACCGAUUGCUCCGGCAUUGGACAGAAGUCCUUCCGAACUGUUUCGCCCACAGCGUUGUACGCGGCGGGAGUUUGGAUUUGAUUGGAUUGGCCCUUCGUGUAAUCAUUCCAUUUUACCAGCAUACCAUGUCGGUGUUCCGAUGGUUGAAGCAAAUCACUGGGUCGGGCUGAAUUCCAGUACCGCAAAGGAGAAGGUCGAAAAGCCUGGUCUUGGUGCCGAGCAGUUGUAGCAGUAACGUGUAGUUUCAGUCCAAGAACGACCAAAAUACAUUGGCAAAAACAAAAGUGUAGUUGAAUAUUGUUUAAGUGUAGUAUUAUGAAAAAAGUUUUCAAUAAAAUUUAAAUAGGAAA
Uranotaenia lowii is the source of this 724-nucleotide long non-coding RNA. RefSeq lists it as uncharacterized. The transcript is spliced from 3 exons. NCBI's taxonomy places the organism in Eukaryota, Metazoa, Arthropoda, Insecta, Diptera, Culicidae. The record is from RefSeq and is a predicted model, not a curated record.